Molecule: non-coding RNA, 24 nt
Filed under: Arabidopsis thaliana (thale cress)
Lineage: Eukaryota; Viridiplantae; Streptophyta; Magnoliopsida; Brassicales; Brassicaceae
Source: RNAcentral
AGGCAAAGAAAACUAGAAAAACUC